GACGAACGCUGGCGGCGUGCUUAACACAUGCAAGUCGAACGGAAAGGCCCUGCUUUUGUGGGGUGCUCGAGUGGCGAACGGGUGAGUAACACGUGAGUAACCUGCCCUUGACUUUGGGAUAACUUCAGGAAACUGGGGCUAAUACCGGAUAGGAGCUCCUGCUGCAUGGUGGGGGUUGGAAAGUUUCGGCGGUUGGGGAUUGACUCGCGGCUUAUCAGCUUGUUGGUUGGGUAGUGGCUUACCAAGGCUUUGACGGGUAGCCGGCCUGAGAGGGUGACCGGCCACAUUGGGACUGAGAUACGGCCCAGACUCCUACGGGAGGCAGCAGUGGGGAAUAUUGCACAAUGGGCGGAAGCCUGAUGCAGCAACGCCGCGUGCGGGAUGACGGCCUUCGGGUUGUAAACCGCUUUCGCCUGUGACGAAGCGUGAGUGACGGUAAUGGGUAAAGAAGCACCGGCUAACUACGUG
This 468-nucleotide ribosomal RNA is filed under the name uncultured bacterium. RNAcentral's name for it is "partial 16S ribosomal RNA". It matches the Rfam family "Bacterial small subunit ribosomal RNA", at positions 28 to 507 of the family's 1533-position model. The record is from RNAcentral.